CCUACGGGAGGCAGCAGUGAGGAAUAUUGGACAAUGGGCGCAAGCCUGAUCCAGCCAUGCCGCGUGCAGGAAGACGGUCCUAUGGAUUGUAAACUGCUUUUGUACAGGAAGAAACACUCCCUCGUGAGGGAGCUUGACGGUACUGUAAGAAUAAGGAUCGGCUAACUCCGUGCCAGCAGCCGCGGUAAUACGGAGGAUCCAAGCGUUAUCCGGAAUCAUUGGGUUUAAAGGGUCCGUAGGCGGUUUAAUAAGUCAGUGGUGAAAUCUGGUCGCUCAACGAUCAAACGGCCAUUGAUACUGUUAGACUUGAAUUAUUAGGAAGUAACUAGAAUAUGUAGUGUAGCGGUGAAAUGCUUAGAUAUUACAUGGAAUACCAAUUGCGAAGGCAGGUUACUACUAAUGGAUUGACGCUGAUGGACGAAAGCGUGGGGAGCGAACAGGAUUAGAUACCCUGGUAGUCCACGCCGUAAACGAUGGAUACUAGCUGUUGGGCGCAAGUUCAGUGGCUAAGCGAAAGUGAUAAGUAUCCACCUGGGAGUAAGUUCGCAAGAAUGAAACUUAAAGGAAUUGACGGNGNGAGAGNGCGAGACGACGACGAGGAGGAGG
Molecule: ribosomal RNA, 606 nt
Filed under: uncultured bacterium
Lineage: Bacteria
Description: bacterial SSU rRNA
Rfam family: Bacterial small subunit ribosomal RNA
Source: RNAcentral